This 3375-nucleotide small RNA is filed under the name Pongo abelii (Sumatran orangutan). RNAcentral's name for it is "retained intron". The record is from RNAcentral. Lineage: Eukaryota; Metazoa; Chordata; Mammalia; Primates; Hominidae.
GCCAGAAGGUUCGGUUGCGCGUGUGCCAUGGACUCAGCCGCCCGGUGAUAUUGACAAUAGGAGAGAGAAAGGGGCAUUGACUGGGACCCACCGCGGGUAGCGAAAGGUGGCUCUGGCAGCGGCGGCUCCAGCUCCUGCGGCUCCUCCUCCUUCUUCUGUCCCCUUCUCUUGCUGCCGCUGCAGAUCCAGUCUUCCUCCCUCCCUUCCUCCCCUCCCCACGUCGUCGCCGCCGCCGCCGCCGCCGGGUCCGGGGCAACGAGCUGAGGCGCCGCCCGCCAGGAAUGUGAGCGAGGAGCCACCGGCGGAGCCGCAACGGGGUCGGUGCGGAUUUGAUGGGACGGGCCCGCGGGGGAGGAUCGUGAGGCCGCCGCCGCCACCGGAAAGCUAAGGUUCGGGUCCGGCCGUGAGGCCUAGAGGCUCCGCCGCCGCGGAACCGGAGGGACCCCGCACCGGACAGCCGUCGCCCCGGGCUCCCCGCAGCUGCCCGGACCUCCCCCUGCACGUCCCGGUCCCGCCGCCCGCCCCCGCUGCGGCCACCUCGCCUGUCUCCCGCCCCUCCAAGCCACAGAUCAUCUUCGGAUUCUUCCCCAGAAGCUUCAAGUAGGGAUAUGUCCUCAGCACCAACUACUCCUCCAUCAGUGGAUAAAGUAGACGGAUUUUCUCGGAAGUCCGUCAGAAAAGCCAGACAGAAGAGGUCGCAAAGUUCCUCACAGUUUAGGUCUCAAGGCAAGCCUAUUGAGUUAACACCUCUGCCACUGCUAAAAGACGUUCCAUCCUCAGAGCAGCCUGAACUGUUCCUAAAGAAACUUCAGCAGUGCUGUGUCAUUUUUGACUUCAUGGACACGCUAUCUGAUCUUAAAAUGAAAGAAUACAAGCGCUCCACUCUUAAUGAACUGGUGGACUACAUUACAAUAAGCAGAGGCUGUUUGACAGAGCAGACUUACCCUGAAGUAGUUAGAAUGGUGAGUUUCUUUUUUUCUCCGCGGACACUUUUAAGCAUCUUCCAUAGUGACUCACAGGUGUAUAUAUUGCAAGAGUGAGGUCAUUGGAGGUCAACUCCACAAAUGAGAGCCAACCUUUGGAGAGCUAAGCAAAUGUAGUCGGCACAGUGCUAGAAUUUGAAGAGCAUGAUUUCAUGAGAACGAAAUCCAGAACUUUAACUACGGCAAGUGCUGAAGCAAUCAAUGACUUCAAAAUAUGAAGCCAAGAUUGCCAGGGUAUUACUGGAUUUCUGGCUUUGGCAAAAGAAAAGACACAGGAAGAUAACAAAAGUCUUAGAUCCGUGUUUGAAAAGUAUUCAAGCCUGUUGGAUGUCUUUUUUUUUUUUUUAAUCUUAUUCAUUGUGGUAUAUUAGAAAUGGCUUAAUGCUUAAUAAAAUUGUGAUUUGUAGAAUCUAGUUAAGGCCUCUCUUGGGCUUUAUAACUCACGCUUCUCUUUAUAAUCCCCUUGAAGUCAGGGUUGAUACCUUUUAUGAUUUUUGAAUAGUGUCUUAGAUUUUGUGUGGUCACUAGGAGUUACGAGGAAAAACAUUAUUAACAUAAUGUGAGUAAUUAUGUUCUUAUUGUGUGAACAAUUAUUUUAGUUUUUCAAAAGCUGAGCCAAAAUGUGGUUUUCUGAUAGAUUUCUGUGGGAGAGUUGCCUUCCUUGGCAUCCCAGAAGAUCUUGGAGCUGGAGAGUGCAUGCUAUUUGGGGAUGGGCUUUGCAGGGUGGGGAGGCUGGUCUACUGACUGGUGAAAUAGCCUCAGAGAUCCCUAAGGUCAGUGCAUCGUUGAGGAAUCCAUUGCAGGAUCGGGCACACUCUCUGUGUACUGCUGAACAUCUGCCUGUCUUUUGUAUUUAGUUCCUUAUCAUUUGUAUUCAACCAAUACAGUAAAGAGACUUUUGUGAUGUAGUAGAUAUGUUUAAAAAUGAUAGUUCAGAUUUGCAAAGGGACUUGAAUGAUCUCAGCGUGAGACUGUGACUGAUAUAUGAAGGUCAUCUGAAAACGAUGCCCAAUAUAUUCCUCAGAUCUAUAUCUGAAUAUAUAUUGGAUUUGUUGUUAAUUUACAGGAAUGUAGCACUAGAAUGUUUUGUAGGUUAAAGAUGACUGUGUGGCUCUUGAACAGUGCUUCUCAACCAGGUGUGAUUUUGCCUUACAGGGGACAUUUGUCAGUGUCUAGAGACAUUUUUGGUAGUCACAACUAGAUGUGGGAGGAGAGUACUACCAGCAUCUAGUGGGAGAGGCCAGAGAUACUGCUAAACAUUUUACAAUGUACAGGGUGGCCCCCACAAUAAAGAAUUAUCUGGCCCCAAAUGUCACAAGUGCCACUGUUGAGAAACCUUGCUCUUGAGUUUGCAUACUAUCUAAAUCUCUUAAUGUGAUGCAGAGGAUCUUCUCUAGUCUACCUGCUUUCUGCAGAGCACAGUCCCUGGUUUUAGCCUACCUGUAUCAUCAGCCAACAGAGGUAUCAGUUAUGACUUUCUUCUGUAUCUUUCCAUGGAUAGUUCAUGAAUAUAUAAGUAUAUGCAAACAUAUGUAUAAAUAUUUUUUUUUUGUAAGCACACAAAUGGUGGCACACUAUAUAUUUUCUGUACCUUGCUUUUUUCACUUAGCAAUAUAUAUUUCAGUACAUAUAAAGUUGCCAUAUUCUUUUUAUAGCUGCAUAAUAUUUAUUGUGUGAAUGUACCAUAUUUAAGCAGUACUCUAUGAAUAUCCUUAUAUAUACAUCAGUUUGUCUUUGUAUGAGGACAUUUGUAUAUGUAUUUUUGAAAAUUUAAUUUUUUAAGAACAGUUUUAGGUUCACAUUAUAAUUGAGAGGAAAGUACAGAGAUUUCUCAUAUGCCCUGUCCCUGCACAAGCACAGCCUCCCCCAUUAUCAACACCUCCCCCCUCACUCCCACCAGAGCAGUACAUUUGUUACAAUUGAUGAUCCUACAUUGACGCAUCAUUAUCACUCAGAGUUCAUAGUUCACAUUAGGGCUCAUUCUUGGUGUUGGACAUUCUGAGUUUAGACAAAUGUGUAAUGACAUGUAUCCACCAUUAUAGUACCAUACAUACCAUACAUCACUGCCCUGAAAAUCCUCUGUGCUCCACUUCUUCAUCACCCACCACCUUCAACUCCCUGGCAACCACUGAUCUUUUUACUGUCUCCAUAAUUUUGCUUUUUCCAGACUGUCAUAUAGUUGGAAUCAUACAGCAUGUACUCUUUUCAGAUGGGCUUCUUUGACUUAGUUAUAUGCACUUAAGCUUCCUUCAUGUCUUUUCAAGACUUGAUAGCUCACUUAUUUUAGUGUUGAAUAACAUUUUAUUGGUUGGAUGUACCAUAGUUUAUCCAUUCACCUACUGAAGGACAUUUUAGUUGCUUCCUAAUUUUGGCAAUUAUGAAUAAAGCUAAU